GGCGCCAUAGCCAAGUGGUAAGGCACAGGUCUGCAAAACCUCUACUCCCCAGUUCAAGUCUGGGUGGCGCCUCCA
This 75-nucleotide transfer RNA is filed under the name Subdoligranulum sp. CAG:314. RNAcentral describes it as "transfer RNA-Cys(GCA)". It matches the Rfam family "tRNA". From Rfam's summary of the family: Transfer RNA (tRNA) molecules are approximately 80 nucleotides in length. Their secondary structure includes four short double-helical elements and three loops (D, anti-codon, and T loops). Further hydrogen bonds mediate the characteristic L-shaped molecular structure. tRNAs have two regions of fundamental functional importance: the anti-codon, which is responsible for specific mRNA codon recognition, and the 3' end, to which the tRNAs corresponding amino acid is attached (by aminoacyl-tRNA synthetases). tRNAs cope with the degeneracy of the genetic code in two manners: having more than one tRNA (with a specific anti-codon) for a particular amino acid; and 'wobble' base-pairing, i.e. permitting non-standard base-pairing at the 3rd anti-codon position. Lineage: Bacteria; Bacillati; Bacillota; Clostridia; Eubacteriales; Oscillospiraceae. RNAcentral also lists the same sequence under 3 other names. The record is from RNAcentral.